GUUCGUCUUCAGGGGCAGGGUGUAAUUCCCGACCGGUGGUAAAAGUCCACGACCCGCUUUUUGCGGCUGAUCCGGUGUGAAUCCGGAACCGAUAGUUAAAGUCUAGAUAAAGAAGAUGCGG
RNAcentral lists this non-coding RNA (121 nucleotides) under Lacticaseibacillus brantae. RNAcentral describes it as "Lactobacillus brantae FMN sequence". It matches the Rfam family "FMN riboswitch aptamer (RFN element)". Rfam says of the family: The RFN element is a highly conserved domain that is found frequently in the 5'-untranslated regions of prokaryotic mRNAs that encode for flavin mononucleotide (FMN) biosynthesis and transport proteins. This element is a metabolite-dependent riboswitch that directly binds FMN in the absence of proteins. The record is from RNAcentral. RNAcentral also lists the same sequence under 1 other name. Lineage: Bacteria; Bacillati; Bacillota; Bacilli; Lactobacillales; Lactobacillaceae.